AGGAACCGGAUGCGGGAAAUCCGCUCGUCCGGGUCUGUGAGGGGUGGGGAUGGUAACGUCCCCACCUACUCGGC
Molecule: non-coding RNA, 74 nt
Organism: Rhizobium sp. PDO1-076
Lineage: Bacteria; Pseudomonadati; Pseudomonadota; Alphaproteobacteria; Hyphomicrobiales; Rhizobiaceae
Source: Rfam